CAGCCGCCACGGUAAUACAGAGGGUGCGAGCGUUAAUCGGAUUUACUGGGCGUAAAGCGUGCGUAGGCGGCUUUUUAAGUCGGAUGUGAAAUCCCUGAGCUUAACUUAGGAAUUGCAUUCGAUACUGGGAAGCUAGAGUAUGGGAGAGGAUGGUAGAAUUCCAGGUGUAGCGGUGAAAUGCGUAGAGAUCUGGAGGAAUACCGAUGGCGAAGGCAGCCAUCUGGCCUAAUACUGACGCUGAGGUACAAAAGCAUGGGGAGCAAACAGGAUUAGAUACCCGAGUAGUCCCUGUCUCUUAUAC
This 301-nucleotide ribosomal RNA is filed under the name uncultured bacterium. Its description in RNAcentral is "partial 16S ribosomal RNA". It matches the Rfam family "Bacterial small subunit ribosomal RNA", at positions 509 to 807 of the family's 1533-position model. The record is from RNAcentral.